UACGUAGGGACCGAGCGUUGUCCGGAAUCAUUGGGCGUAAAGAGCGUGUAGGCGGCCACUUAAGUCCUGCGUGAAAUCUUGCGGCUCAACCGCAAGCGGUCGUGGGAAACUGGGUGGCUAGAGUGCGGGAGAGGAGAGUGGAAUUCCUGGUGUAGCGGUGGAAUGCGCAGAUAUCAGGAGGAACACCGGUGGCGAAGGCGGCUCUCUGGGACGGUACUGACGCUGAGACGCGAAAGCGUGGGGAGCGAACAGG
RNAcentral lists this ribosomal RNA (253 nucleotides) under uncultured bacterium. RNAcentral's name for it is "partial 16S ribosomal RNA". It matches the Rfam family "Bacterial small subunit ribosomal RNA", at positions 524 to 776 of the family's 1533-position model. The record is from RNAcentral.